This is an RNA transcript of Olea europaea var. sylvestris, 2883 nucleotides long. It is a transcript of the gene named armadillo repeat-containing protein 8-like, with no coding region annotated. The transcript has 8 exons. The record is from RefSeq and is a predicted model, not a curated record. Lineage: Eukaryota; Viridiplantae; Streptophyta; Magnoliopsida; Lamiales; Oleaceae.
CUUUUAACGUAUGAGACACAAAACGGAAAAACAAACGGGAAUUUCAACCAUCCAAUCAUUCAAACGGUAACUUCAAUCGUCGUCGUCCAACUCCAUCCCACCUUUCCGAACACUAUUUGUGCAGAAGAUUUCCCAUUCUCUCGAUUUGUGGGCCGCCACGCUUAUGAAAUAACGCCAUCCGCCACCAACCACCAUGCCCACAUCAGCACCACCACCGUCAAAUUAUCCUACCCGUUCCGAGGACUUGAUCGGACGGCUAAAUUCCGUCCACAUACCCUGUGAGGCCAAGCUCAAAGCCCUAAGAGAGCUCAAGAACCAAAUAAUUGGAAAUCGGACCAAAAAGAUUGCCUUUUUGAAGCUUGGUGCCGUCCCCUCCCUAGUCUCGAUUCUCUCUUCCGCCGUCGCCGAGAACGGUGGAAAUUUGGAGUUCAAUGAACCUGUUAUAAUUCAGUCUGCUGCGGCAAUCGGUAGCUUUGCAUGUGGGCUAGAUGCCGGAGUUAAUGCCGUUUUGGAUGCCGGCGCAUUUCCUCUAUUGUUUGGUCUCGUAUCUCAUCCGAACGAGAAGAUUGUGGAUGCCUGUGCUCGCUCCCUUAAAUUGAUUUAUCAGUCAAAAUUGGCUCCAAAGUAUAAUUUUCUUCUAGAGAAAAAUAUGGAUUUCCUCCUUUCACUAUUGAACAGCAAAAAUGAGAAUGUUACAGGACUUGGUGCAAGUAUCAUCACCCAUUCAUGCCACACAAGUUUGGAGCAGGAGACAUUGAGUGAAGCUGGAGUUAUAAAGAAGCUUAUUAGUCUUCUUGGAGGUUCUUUAAUUCAGAGGGAUGCUAGUUUAGAAUCUCUUGGAGCUAUAAUUAAGGAAAAUCCAGUAGUAGUUUCAAAGUUUAUGGGACCAGUAAAUGGAAGAGCACUGAAUGUUGUGACUGAAUUGACAAAGGACAGGUAUCCUCAGACGAGAUUGCUAGCCUGUAUGUGUUUGAUCCUUAUAAGAAAUGCUUCUACGUGUUAUCUUCAAGAUGCAGGAAUCAAGACUAAACUGAUACUAAUAUUGCUCGAGCUUAUUGAUGAUCCUGGUCAAGUUGGAGAUGAAGCUCCCUUUGUUUUAUCUAGUUUAAUUGCAGAAAAAGAGGAUCUACAAAAAAUAGCAUUUGACUCCAAUAUUGUUGAUAAAUUAUGCAACCACUUAGAGAAAGGUUCGUUACAAGCCAAAAGCCUACAGGGGAUAUUUCUAGCAUUGGCUGACUUGUGUUCAAAGUUGGAAUGCUGCAGGGACAGAUUCCUCUCUUUAAAGGCAUUCAAUUUUUUAACAGAUGUGCUGACUCAUGAUAGUCCUGAAGUACGCACUGCAGCUUGCAUUUGCUUGAAAAACAUUUCUCGCUCUGUCAAGAAUUUGAGUGCAGGUCAUUUUAUGAAUGAAGUUGUCAUCGUACCCUUGGUUCAGCUAUUACAUGACACUUGUACUUCUGUCCAGAUCGCAGCAUUGGGUGCUAUCAGCAACAUUGUGGUUGAUUUUACUGAGCACAAGUCGACAUUCAUUCAUUGUGGAGGCGUGAAACAGCUUGUUCAGCUAUUGAAGUCAAUGGAUCCAACCAUUAGGUUUAAUGCCAUGUGGGCUUUAAAGAACCUGAUUUUCCUUGUAAACAGCAUGUGUAAAGAAGAAAUUCUCUUGGAACUAUCGCCAUCUAUAUUAAUAAGCCUUAUCUGUGACCCUGAAACUUCUGUCCAAGAGCAGGCUUUGGCUCUUGUUCGAAAUCUGGUUGAUGGUGCCAUAGACUCUGUUGAGUAUGUCUUUUCUGAGGAGGGCCUUCUGCUGAAUGCUAUUGGAAGACAACUGCAGAGCGCUUCAAAAGUUGAAGUUCUGAUUCAAGUAAGAAGUGCUUUCGUGUUCGGACUUGAAUCUCUGCUUAAAAAAGACGUACUUUAUGUGAGCAAGUGGACUGCUGUAUUUAAAAGGAAUGUACGUCCUCAACAACGUGGCUUCUGGAAAUGAAUUCCACAAGGAAGCAGUCAUGAACCUACUUUUUCCACAUGCAGGCAGUGAUACACAAACAAUUUUGAUUAAGUUUAUGCAGAGUACUGACAGCCGAUUACGAACAGCUUCUGUGUGGGCUCUUGUAAAUCUCACUUUGACAAGCAGUCCAGGUGCAAAUAGUCGGGUUAUGAAACUGCAGAGAGCUGGCAUAGUUUCUCAACUAAAGAAUAUGGCCAAUGAUCCAUGCCUGGACGUGAAGCUUCGAGCAAAAACAGCUCUUGGACAAUCAAUGAUGUUUGUGGAUCCUUCAAUGGGAAAAUUUGUUUUCACAUGUUGAUGACCGAGAUUCUGGUGCAAGAUAGUGCUUGUGAUUUUCCGCGAGGGCAUAUCAGAACAUGGGAUGCCUCCAUCAAGUUUUAGGUGAGUUCAUUACGGCUCAAUUGUCCAGAUGAGCGCUAUUUUUUAUUUUUUUUUUAUUUUUACUUGAAUGAUCACUUCCCACAAAUUCAUGCAUAUGCAAUUUUUAUUUUAUUUAUUUUAUUUUAUUUUUGUAAAUAAGGGCAUGGUGUAUGUUUUAGUAGUUGCUGCAUUUUUAAGAUUGAAGGUUACUAGAGCAAAUUUAUCGGAAUGUCAACAUGUAAUCAUCGUUCGGUGUUCUUUGAAGCCAAUAUGUUGAAUCAUAAUCUGCACGCUGUGUUGGUCAUUUCCCUUUUCUGUACUUCUGAAAGGCUAUUCAUCUUUCCUCGAGCUCUUCAUAAGUCGAAUUAGCUUCAUCAUCAUGUUCAUUUUCAGGUGUAAUCGUAUUAAUUUCUGAUCUUUUUGUUUUGGAUCCAUGUUUUCGCUCUUCGAUUAGUGGGGAGAGUGAUGUUUGUCUUUAUUUUUCUGUUUCUUUAAUGUACCAUUUUCCUUCUUUUGUU